RNAcentral lists this ribosomal RNA (968 nucleotides) under Corethron pennatum. RNAcentral describes it as "partial Bacterial small subunit ribosomal RNA". It matches the Rfam family "Bacterial small subunit ribosomal RNA", at positions 9 to 992 of the family's 1533-position model. Lineage: Eukaryota; Bacillariophyta; Corethrophyceae; Corethrales; Corethraceae. The record is from RNAcentral.
GAGUUUGAUCCUGGCUCAGAAUAAACGCUAGUAAUAUGCUUUACACAUGCUAGUUAAACGAAUUUCGUAGCGCACGGGUGAGUAAUACAUAAAAUUUUUUUCUUCUAAUCUGUGAUAACAAUAUAAAUCUUUUUACUUGUAGUAAGAUUAAAUUUUUAAAAUAUUAAUAUUAGAAAAAAAAUGUUAAGUUUGUUAGAAGGUAAAUUUAUGUAGGAUUAGGUAGUUGGUGUGGAUAAAAGCAGACCAAGCCGAUGAUCCUUAAUUGGUCUGAGAGGACGAUCAAUCACACUGGAACUGAAACAAAGUCCAGGCUUUUUGCCAGCAGUGAGGAAUAUUGGACAAUGAACGAAAGUUUGAUCCAGCAAUAUUACGUGAAUAAAAAAACAAAAUAUCAUAUUUUGUCAGAUAGACGGCUAAUUUUGGUUGUAAAAUUCAUUUUUUAAAAUUGAUAAUGACAUAAUUUAAAAAUCAAGUCCCGGCUAAUCUCGUGCCAGCAGCCGCGGUAAUACGGGAGGGGCAAGCGUUAUUCGGAAUAAUUGGGCGUAAAGCGUUCGUAGACCGUAAUGUACAUUACUUAUGAAAGUCUAAAACCUAAUUUUAGAAAAGUACUUAAUACAACAUUACUAGAGUUUAGAAAAAAAAAGUAGAAUUCCGCAAGUAAGAGUGGUAUCUAAAAAUAUGCAGGAGGAAUAUCUAAAGCGAAAGCAACUUUUUAGGAUAAACUGACGUUGAGGGACGAAAGCAUGGGUAGCAAAUAGGAUUAGGUACCCUAGUAGUCCAUGCUGUAAACUAUGAGUGCUCGAAUUUAAAAAAAAUUAGAUUCUUAGUUAACACGUUAAGCAUUCCGCCUGAGAAGUACGAUCGCAAGAUUGGAACUCAAAGGAAUUGACGGGGGCCGAUACAAGUGGUGGAGCAUGUGGUUUAAUGCGAUAAUCCGCGCAAAACCUUACCAGUUCUUGACAUUAUUA